CCCUUAGAUGUUCUGGGCCGCACGCGCGCUACACUGACGAAUGCAACGAGCUUAUAACUUUGGCCGAAAGGUCUGGGUAAUCUCCAAAUUUCGUCGUGAUGGGGAUAGAUUAUUGCAAUUAUUAAUCUUCAACGAGGAAUGCCUAGUAAGCGCAAGUCAUCAGCUUGCGUUGAUUACGUCCCUGCCCUUUGUACACACCGCCCGUCGCUCCUACCGAUUGAAUGGUCCGGUGAAGCGUUCGGACCGUGGCCUUUGGACGGUUCGCCGUCUGUUGGCUGCGGGAAGUUCGUUAAACCUUAUCAUUUAGAGGAAGGAGAAGUCGUAACA
RNAcentral lists this ribosomal RNA (327 nucleotides) under uncultured eukaryote. RNAcentral's name for it is "partial 18S ribosomal RNA". It matches the Rfam family "Eukaryotic small subunit ribosomal RNA", at positions 1470 to 1796 of the family's 1831-position model. The record is from RNAcentral.